ACUCCUACGGGAGGCAGCAGUAGGGAAUCUUCCACAAUGGACGAAAGUCUGAUGGAGCAACGCCGCGUGAACGAUGAAGGCUUUCGGGUCGUAAAGUUCUGUUGUAAGGGAGGAACAAGUGCCGCAGGCAAUGGCGGCACCUUGACGGUACCUUGCGAGAAAGCCACGGCUAACUACGUGCCAGCAGCCGCGGUAAUACGUAGGUGGCAAGCGUUGUCCGGAAUUAUUGGGCGUAAAGCGCGCGCAGGCGGCCUCUUAAGUCUGAUGUGAAAGCCCCGGCUCAACCGGGGGAGGGCCAUUGGAAACUGGGAGGCUUGAGUAUAGGAGAGAAGAGUGGAAUUCCACGUGUAGCGGUGAAAUGCGUAGAGAUGUGGAGGAACACCAGUGGCGAAGGCGACUCUUUGGCCUAUAACUGACGCUGAGGCGCGAAAGCGUGGGGAGCAAACAGGAUUAGAUACCCUGGUAGGAUAGCG
RNAcentral lists this ribosomal RNA (473 nucleotides) under uncultured bacterium. Its description in RNAcentral is "bacterial SSU rRNA". It matches the Rfam family "Bacterial small subunit ribosomal RNA", at positions 335 to 799 of the family's 1533-position model. The record is from RNAcentral.